UAUAUAUAGCUUAUUUGCAAAUCUUUUGAGCAUUAUGCUUAUUUAUUUUUGGUUAUUUGGCAGCAAGUAAUAUGCAUAUCAAUUACUUUUUAUGUCUGUAAAUAUAUAUAUUCCUAAUGCCUUCUUGAGUUUAUUAUUGCAUAUCUACUAGAAAUACAAUUUUUCACAUCGUCAAUCUCAUGCAAACAGAACUGAAGCUGCAAUACUCUUCAUGUUGUCAGAGUCGAGCCACAUUGUAUUAAACUAUUAGUUUCCAGGGUAAUUAGCUCAUGGGUUCAUCUUAUGAUGGUGCUAUACGAUUUAAGUCUACCUUUUAUCUAUGCACUACUUGGGGGAAUUGUUUUGCUGCUAUUUUAGUUUCGUCUUACUGAUCCCAUCUUGAGCUUACUUUCAUGUGUUUCAGAAAGUACUGCUCCAAAAUGUUCCGUUUCUGGCACCUUCACAGGCUGGCCGCUCCUAAUAAUUUUCUAUAAUUUUGGCAUGUUAUUCCUGUCUUUUUCCAAUUGCACGCUGAUCCAGAAGGGAAAAUCAGUGUCCUGUACUUGCACAACGUAGGGAGAAACAACAGAGCACAACACGGUGUACUUGCAAAACGUAGGGAGCAGCAACAGAGCACAACACGGUUGGCGUUAUUUUGAAAAUUGGAACGCAACCCAAUCAUAGAAGUGUGCCCUGGUAGAGUAAAAAAAUCAUCUGAGUUUUUCCCCACGCCAUAGUUAGUCAUAGACACGGAAUUUCUAAUCUGGAUAUGUAUAAAUAUAUUGUUAGUGUGAUCCAGUUUUUUCUUAAGAGAGUUGGCCAAUCAGGAAAACCUCAUGUUAUUUAGUCAAUAUCAAGUGAUUUAAACAAGCGUCAACUCAUGAUUAAUAUGGUAAGUAUGUGCCUUAGGAAUUUCUGUUUUCUGAUUUACUAUUUGUUCUAUUCAAGAUGAAAUCAAUCGUUUGGAUCUGAGCCUACAAGUUGCUUUGUUUCAAGGAAUCUAUUUUCCUAUUCUUAUUCCAAAUGAACUCAAAUCGUUUGGAACUAAACCUACAAGGUUGCUCUGGUUCAUGGAAUGUGUGCAUAUAGAGGACAUGGACAAUACCUUUGUCAAAUAAUGUCAUAGAGCUUGAACUUUUGACUAUUCAAUCAUUUUUUUGCUGCUCUAAUUUGCUCUCUAUGGAAAAAGAACCAAGGUUUGGACGGGUAAUUAGUCUGUUGAGCAAACAUAUUUUGGUUUGAGAGUAAUAAGUAGGAGUAACAUCACAAGAUUGACCACAUUUUCCUAUUAGGUACAGCCUGAUAUCAAUAUGCACUUCCGAAAUCUGGAAUGAACCUUACAACAAAAAGAAAAAUAAAUAUGUGAUAGUAAUUUAUUUUAUAGUCUGACUCUAGCUUUGUAGUUCGCCUAAGGUUGGUUGCUCAAAAAUUCUGUGAUGCAGUUGGGUGGUGUGUCCGGAAUUCUCUGUCUUCUUUUUCUCCGAUAAGAAAAACUUUACUGGCCAGGAGAUCUCCCCAUACCUGAGUCUCUAACAUGGUAAUCAAUUUCAGAGCUGUCAGUUUGGUUCAUCUUGCAAGAGAAUCGCUCUUUCUUUCGGUUAUUCCUAUGGUGCUCUCCAAUUCUUUAUUUUCUUGGUGAUAAAAGGCAGGGUGUCAAAGGUGGAGUAAUUCAUUAGAGGUAUCACUCGAACAAAUUUAAUAUCAUGGAUGGAGAGUUGACAAUAUGCACUAUCAUUUACCUGUGUUGAACAUGUAUUAGAGGUAUAAUUUCUUUCAAAGAUCAGUCAUUAAGAUAUGUUACUUAUUUUGUUACAUACUUUUUACUGAAAAUAUGCAUUGUCAUUUAGCAGUGUUGAACAUGUAUUAGAGCAGAGUAGAAGUUAAUUUCAGGGAAGUUUAAUGGUAGAUACUUUAUGUUUGUUAACAAAAAACUUGCAACCCGCAUUAUAGGUUUAUUUUCUUAAUAUGAUUAAAAGAGAAGGGCAUGUAGUACCAUCAAAUUAAUUUUCUUCAGAUCAACCUAAUUGGAUGGAUAUAUUAUGUGUGAAAUUUGGCUAUUUAGUAGUGGAUAGUUUAUCACCAUAGUCUGAUUUUAUUUUCUUACCUUGGCAAGCUGAAAACUAAUUUUCCUUUGAGACAAACGUUAGCUUAUGAUGCGAGCUACCUUCUAAAAAACAUAGCAUGGUCUUUCCAUCUGUCAUUCGGGGGAUGGUAGAGUUUGUUUUAAUGGUCAGUCUUCAGAUGUCAUAGUUUGCACACAAAUCACUGCAAUAUCAUGCACCUCAAAUCUGCGCCAAUCUAGAUUUCUAUCACUCUAUACUGAACCAACCUAGAUUGCUAUCAGUCUAUACUGAAUUAAUUUCGGUACGAGCCACCCACAAGACAAAUGGUAGGGCUCUAUGUGGCUGUGAGGCAAGCUAUUCUUUCGAAGUGCCUGGUAAUUUUAUUCACACCAAAAUGGUAAGGUUUUGCUCCUUUGAGGCAACACAACUGAUAUUAUCAUUCACAUCAAAAUGGUAAGGUUUUGCUCCUUUGAGGCAACACAACUGAUAUUAUCAUUCUUGUUGUUGUGUCUGAAUUGAAUUUUGAUAUCAUUGUAAGCUGUUGUAAUAUCCACAUAGUUGCACAUGACUUGCCAAUUUGUUCAGUGCGUUGGAUGAUUUAAUUUCAGACUAAUUAUCUUUAGUGAAAACCGGUAGUACCUAGCCCUAUGAUGCAAAGGAUGUUGGAAGAAACCUUACCUCCAUGACAAUGCGUAAAAUAGCCCUAAUAAAUGUCGGUGCCUAUAUACAGAAGCAGAGCGAAGGGCCUUACAUGAUAUUAAUUGGCUUACACGUCAUCUCUUUACUGAAAAGGUGCUAAAUCUAACAAUUUCCUUGGCCACACCGGUAAAUCCUUAACUCAGAUUGAACAUGCAUCCUUCAUGUGUCUAUCAUAUACCAUUGUUAUCGAGACAGCACAACAUAUAAAUUAGCAGAAGAAUACGUUUCCAUGAAGACGCAAGAGUAUUACAACAGUGCACCUCUGUUUUCAAAUCAACCAAGAACAUACAAAGCAUGUUUGCAGUAACAUAUUCGAAUUCUCACUUAUGUGCAGGCUGUAACUUUUCCUGCAGAUAGGCUUGAAGAUAUCUCCAGCUCUCUUAUAUUUCUUUUUGCAGGGAGACAACUCUACUGGUUGGGUAUUAACUAUACACUCUGAAGUGGUGAUGGCAACCACUAAAGCUGUGCAGUUUCGGAAACACACCAUGGCUGCUAAGACAUUAUCACUAACAGACUGCUAAGAAACACUACGGAAAUUGGCUUCCUUCUCCAUGAAUGUAUUCACAUGUAUUCACAUAUCCGUUGAAAAUAACAUGAUGUACCAACUCUACAAACUACUACACAUGUUACAUCAUGAAGUCGGAAUAGUUUAUGUAGAUUGCAAUGUUUUGUGUCGUA
Molecule: long non-coding RNA, 3419 nt
Organism: Lolium rigidum
Lineage: Eukaryota; Viridiplantae; Streptophyta; Magnoliopsida; Poales; Poaceae
Exons: 2
Source: RefSeq, a predicted model, not a curated record